GGAGAUGGUAGUAAAAAGUCGUAACAAGGUCUCCGUUGGUGAACCAGCGGAGGGAUCAUUACAGAGUUGCAAAACUCCCACAAACCAUCGCGAAUCUUACCCGUACGGUUGCCUCGGCGCUGGCGGUCCGGAAAGGCCCUCGGGCCCUCCCGGAUCCUCGGGUCUCCCGCUCGCGGGAGGCUGCCCGCCGGAGUGCCGAAACUAAACUCUUGAUAUUUUAUGUCUCUCUGAGUAAACUUUUAAAUAAGUCAAAACUUUCAACAACGGAUCUCUUGGUUCUGGCAUCGAUGAAGAACGCAGCGAAAUGCGAUAAGUAAUGUGAAUUGCAGAAUUCAGUGAAUCAUCGAAUCUUUGAACGCACAUUGCGCUCGCCAGUAUUCUGGCGAGCAUGCCUGUUCGAGCGUCAUUUCAACCAUCAAGCUCUGCUUGCGUUGGGGAUCCGCGGCUGUCCGCGGUCCCUCAAAAUCAGUGGCGGGCUCGCUAGUCACACCGAGCGUAGUAACUCUACAUCGCUAUGGUCGUGCGGCGGGUUCUUGCCGUAAAACCCCCCAUUUCUAAGGUUGACCUCGGAUCAGGUAGGAAUACCCGCUGAACUUAAGCAUAUCAA
This 607-nucleotide ribosomal RNA is filed under the name Neurospora crassa. RNAcentral's name for it is "eukaryotic LSU rRNA". The stretch from base 253 to 406 matches the Rfam family "5.8S ribosomal RNA". Lineage: Eukaryota; Fungi; Ascomycota; Sordariomycetes; Sordariales; Sordariaceae. The record is from RNAcentral.